GACAGAGGCCUCAAGCGUUAGGCGGAAUCACUGGGCUUAAAGCGUGUGUAGGCGGAUCGUUAAGUGCCUUGUGAAAUCCCACGGCUUAACUGUGGAACGGCUGGGCAUACUGGCGGUCUUGAGCCAUCUAGGGGCGACUGGAACAAACGGUGGAGCGGUGAAAUGCGUUGAUAUUAUGGGGAACACCAAAAGCGAAGGCAGCAGACUGGAGCACUCCUGACACUGAAACAAGAAAGCGUGGGUCGCGAAUGGG
This 253-nucleotide ribosomal RNA is filed under the name uncultured bacterium. RNAcentral's name for it is "partial 16S ribosomal RNA". It matches the Rfam family "Bacterial small subunit ribosomal RNA", at positions 524 to 776 of the family's 1533-position model. The record is from RNAcentral.